This 5261-nucleotide ribosomal RNA is filed under the name Candidatus Shapirobacteria bacterium CG_4_10_14_0_8_um_filter_39_15. Its description in RNAcentral is "23S ribosomal RNA". The stretch from base 2 to 3311 matches the Rfam family "Bacterial large subunit ribosomal RNA". RNAcentral also lists the same sequence under 2 other names. Lineage: Bacteria; Candidatus Shapironibacteriota. The record is from RNAcentral.
AGUUUUUAUUAAAGCAAGUGGUGGAUGCCUUGGUAACAAGAGCCGAAGAAGGACGCAGUCGGCAGCGAUAUUCGUCGGGGAGGAGUCUAACAUCCUUUGAUCCGGCGGUUUCCGAAUAGAGUAAUCUCCUCGUAAGAGGGACUUGCACCAUACGGUGCGAGUAGGGAACUGGGCGAACCGAAACAUCCAAGUAGCCCAAGGAAAAGAAAAUAAUAAUGAUUCCGUCAGUAGCGGAGAGCGAAAGCGGAACAGCCUAAACCCGAACAAAUCUCGCAAGAGAUUUGCGCGGGUGUUGUAGGGUCUCAUUAUGGGAGUAUUAAGAAUAGUCAAACGGUGUGGAAUUGCCGACCAUAGAGAGUGAAAGUCUCGUAGACGAAAUUCAAGAUACCUCUAGAGAUACCUAAGUAACUCGAAGCACAUACUUUGAGCGAAUCUGGGGCAACCAUGCUCCAAGGCUAAAUACUCUUGUUGUCCGAUAGUGAACUAGUACCGUGAGGGAAAGGCGAAAAGAACCCCGGUGAGGGGAGUGAAAUAGAACCUGAAACCAUUUGCUAACAAACAGUAAGAGCAUCUCGUUUCCACUCGAUGCUUAAGUCAAAAGUAAAAAGUUAAAAAUCAAAAGUACAAGUAAAAAUUAAAAAUAUACAAUUGAAAUUUUGACUUUUGCAUUUUGAAUUUUGCAUUUGAACACCGAGUGGAGGCGAGGUGUGAUUACGUGCCUAUUGAAGAAUGAACCGGCGAGUUCUCAAUUACUGCAUUAGUUUAAGCCGCUAAUUACGGCUCAAGCGUAGCGAAAGCAAGUCUGAAUAGGGCGUAAUAAGCAGUUGUUGGGAGACCCGAAACCUGGCGAGCUAACCAUGAACAGGGUGAGCCCCGAUGAAAGUCGGGGGGAAGCCCGAACUCGUUGUCGUUGCAAUGACAUGAGAUGAUUUGCGGUUAGGGGUAAUAUGCCUAACGAGCCAGGAGAUAGCUGGUUCUCCCCGAAAUAUAUAUAGGUAUAGCGUCCGUUAAACUUUUCCGGAGGUAGAGCACUGAAUGGGUGUGGUAACGCAAGUUAUUAUACUCAAUCAAACUCCGAAUGCCGGAAAAAGAUUUACGGGCAGUCAGAACGGUGGGUCUAAGCUCAUCGCUCUAAAGGGAAACAACCCAGAUUUCCAUCUAAGGUCUCUAAAUUUCUGUUAAGUGUUAAAGGAAGUGUUUUUCCUCAGACACCCAGGAGGUUGGCUCAGAAGCAGCCAUCCUUGAAAGAAAGCGUAACAGCUCACUGGACGACAGCUCUCCUUCGCUUUUUGCUCCGAAAAAGCUACGGGACGAGCACCCUCUCUAAUUAACAAAGGAGAGCGAGUGCCCUUCCGAAGCUUCGAACGAAGUAAGAAGCGGAGGAGGGUGGAGAAAUGCGCCUAAAACGUAUCGAGGCUAAAACAGAAUACCGAAGAUGAAGAACUUGUGUAAAGCACAAGGAAUUCAAAAGUCAAAAGUUUUAUUCUGAAGGUUUAUUAAUUUUGAAUUUCUCAUGCUUUGCAUGAGUUGGUAGGGGAGCGUUGAUACUGCAGUGAAGCCGAGCUGUAAGGCAAGGUGGAGCGGUAUCAAGUGAGUAUGCCGGUAUAAGUAGCGAGAUCCCGGUGAGAAACCGGGACGCCGAAUACCCGAGGUUUCUCCGACAAUGCUAAUCAGUCGGAGGUUAGUCGACCCUUAGGUGAGUCCGAGCUUAGCUCGGAGUAGCCGAUGGAUAAACUGUUAAUAUUCAGUUACAGAGAGUGAAUCGUUACCAACUGGGGAUUGACAGGGAUGGAUAGCCAAACCCGCCGCAAGGCGAGCUUAAAUCACAAGGCAGUUUUUGUAGGAAAACCCGCAAAAACGUUUACACUGCAAAGUGUCUAACCGAAUGAUGAAUAAGAGUCUAAGCCGCAAGGCAAGGACAAUUUGGUAAUUUCAACCCUCAAGAAAAGAUUCGCAGUGAGAUUCAUUUUUUAUCGUACCGAAAACCGACACAGGUGGGUUGGUAGAGUAUACCAAGGCGGACGAGAGAAGGAAGUUCAAGGAACUCGGCAAAAAAGCUGGGCGUAAGUUAUGCAAGAUGCCCUACUCCGAUUUAUCGGAGUUCAACAAAAGAUUUUCAAGCGACUGUUUAACUAAAACACAGGUCUCUGCAAACCCGCAAGGGUAAGUAUAGGGGCUGAAGCCUGCCCAGUGCCGGAAGGUUAUGGGGAGGAGUGAGUCGCCGUAAGGCGACAGGCUCUGAACUUAAGCCCCGGUGAACGGCAGCAGUAACUAUGAAUCGAAAGGUGUUGUAGUUGUUAAACUUAGCUAUAUGCUGGAAUAACUCGUGUAUCCGACAGUACCCCGUUACCAUACGGUACAGGGUGACAAUCUGUUCGGUGGAGUCAAUCAGCAGGAAAGGCUUUGGUAAAUUAAAAUCAAUGUCAUUCCCACGUUUACCCUGUAAGGGAAAGUGGGAAUCUAUAUCAAAAAAGGAGUAAAACAGUAAAUCAGAUAAUCAGGUUAAGUAAAUCUGAGAACAGAAUAUCAGUAGUAAAAACUGAUCCCUGUUUUCUAAUCUCUUUUCCCGAUACUCUGAUCAACUGAUAAUCUUAAUUGUGUUAUAUAGAUUCCGGCUCGUAGGCCGGAAUGACAAAAUAAAAAUUAUCAAAGAAUCCUCAGAGACUAUACGCUGAGACCGAGCUUAGCUCGGGAUGAUAUAGUCCGACCUUCAGUGCGAACUGAAGAACCGUAAAAUCGGUCUAGUAACAAAGGUGAACUGUUCGAUGGUAGCGAAGUCCCUCGCCAGGUAAGUUCUGGCCCGCAUGAAAGGCUUCACGACUUGAAAACUGUCUCGAACUUCCACUCGGCGAAAUUGAAAUGGCUGUGAAGAUGCGGCCUACGCAUUCUUGGACAAAAAGACCCCGUGGAGCUUUACUAUAGCUUGGUGUUGGAAUGAUGUUUGAAAUUGUGCAGUGCAGGAGGGAGUCUCGACGCAAGUCGGACGCCAAUGUAACACCUCUCUUUUUAAACCUCAAACCUUACCUGUGAGUUCUGGAAACGAACUCGGGGAACGCGCCAGGUGGGUAGUUUGACUGGGGCAGUCGCUUGCUAAAGAGUAACGCGAGUGCACAAAGGUUGGCUAGUCUCGAACGGAAAUCGAGAUGAUAGUGUAAAGGCAAAAGCCAGCUUGACUGUGAGGCCGACGGGCCAAGCAGAGUCGAAAGACGGUCUUAGUGAUCCUCCAACUCGUCGUGGGACGGUUGGGGCUUAACGGAUAAAAGCUACCCCGGGGAUACAACUGUGUCCCGUCUUGGUGAAUAUAAAAAUACCAGGACUUGUAUGCAACUAAUAACGGUGGAACCCGCAACUGGAGAGUUUUAAGUAAAAGUCUUCUCUCGCGAGGCAGCCAAGGGUAAUACCGUGGGAAGUCCGGCUUUGCCGGACCCCGUAACGACUGAUUCCGAAAGGAUGAGAUAUAAAUUACUUCCCAAAAGGGAAAAUCUACAAUUUAUAUCAUACGUUGCCUCCCAUAAAAUUUUAUAUGGGAUGAAGAUAUAGUCUGCGCUUACAGAAAUGUAGGAUUUUGUGAACAGGCUGAUCUGAUCCGAAAGUCCAUAUUGACGAUCAGGUUUGGCACCUCGAUGUCGGCUCAAUUUUAGGGUCGCUACCCGAGUAAUCGAGUAGAUUAAUACGAGCUCAUAACGGUGGACUCCAAUUGCGAUAUAAUUAUCGUAAAUGGACAAUACCGUGGGAAGUCGACAAAGAGAUAUUAUUUUUGGAAUGCUAUUAGGUGACGGAUUUUUAGAACGCAAUGGAAAAUAUGUCAGAUUGGUAACUGACCAUAGCGGAAAACAAGAAACUUAUGUUAAUUGGUUAGCAAGCCAAUUAACUAACUUAAAUCCGAAAUUAGUUUUUAAGAAAAGAAUUGAUCGAAGAAACCUGAAAGUUUACGAUCAUUGUAUUUUAAGAACCAACACUUCAUCUAAGUUGGAAAAAUUCUUUUCCUUAUUUUAUGAAGGUAAAAGAAAAAGAAUUCCACCUUGUUUAAGUAAAAUAAUAUCUCCAAUGGUGUUAGCGGUUUGGAUAAUGGAUGAUGGAUACAAAAGAAAUGAUUGUCGGGCAAUGAGAAUAAAUACCCAAAGUUAUACCUUGGAAGAACAGAAAAUUAUCAGACAAUCGUUUCUUCGUAUCGGUAUCAAAGUUAAUAUCCAUAAACAAAAACAGCACUAUUUGGUUUAUAUUCCAUCUUCUUAUAUGAAGAAAUUUAUAGGAAUGAUUAAACCCUAUAUUAUUCCUUCUAUGGAAUAUAAAAUUUGUUUGACCCCGUAACGACUGAUUCCGAAAGGAUGAGAUAUGAGAUUUAUCUUGUAUCACACGCUCGUCCCCGCGCAAAUUUCUGAAGAAAUUUGUUCGGGUGAAGGUAUAGUCUGCACCAUUAGUAAUAAUGGAUUAUGUGCAUCGCAUCCUGGGGGGGUAGCCCCUCCCAAGGGUUGGACUGUUCGCCCAUUAAAGCGGUACGUGAGCUGGGUUCAGAACGAUGUAAAUCAGUUCGGACUCUAUCCAGAAUGUGCGUUGGAUUCUUGAGGGAAGUUCUCCUCAGUAAACCCAUAUUAGGGUUUUGCUGCUUCCGAAGCAAUUCGGAAUGAAAAUUCGGCUUAUAACGGUGGAGUCUUAAUAACGAAGAUAAUACCGUGGGAAGUCGGUUUGGAGGACGGAUGACAGAAUACGGAAGACGGAUAAGCAAAGCUUGAUGCUUCGCAAUAGCAGAUAGAACAGAUUUGACAGAUUAUUCCCUGUCAUUCUGAACUUGAUUCAGAAUCUAUAUAAAUUAUUGUAUAGAUUCCUGGUCAAGCCAGGAAUGACAUAGUAAUUUUCUGUUUUUCUGUCUUUCUGCAAUCUGUUUUCUGUUAUCUGUCAUCUGGCUUCUAGACUUGACCCCGUAACGACUGUAUCCUUGUACUAUUUAGUACAGGAUCGACUUAAAUCUACUUGAUUUAGGUAACACGCCGACCCCGUUUAAAUUUCAAAAGAAAUUUGUUCGGGUGAAGAUAUAGUCUACACUUCUAGUGAUAGAAGAUAAUGUGACGAGAGGACCAGGAGAAGGGGAUCCCUGGUGUGCCAGUUGUCCGAGCUUAGCUCGGGCAUCGCUGGGUAGCUACAUCCUCUGGGGAUAACUGCUGAAAGCAUCUAAGCAGGAAGCUCCGCCCAAGAUUAGGAAUCCUUCCGAGCUUAGCUCGGUGAAGACCCCAGGUAGACUACCUGGUUGAUUACGCCGCAAG